CCUACGGGUGGCAGCAGUGAGGAAUAUUGGUCAAUGGACGAGAGUCUGAACCAGCCAAGUAGCGUGAAGGAUGACUGCCCUAUGGGUUGUAAACUUCUUUUAUAUGGGAAUAAAAUGUUCCACGUGUGGGAUUUUGUAUGUACCAUCUGAAUAAGUAUCGGCUAACUCCGUGCCAGCAGCCGCGGUAAUACGGAGGAUCCGGGCGUUAUCCGGAUUUAUUGGGUUUAAAGGGAGCGUAGGUGGAUUGUUAAGUCAGUUGUGAAAGUUUGCGGCUCAACCGUAAAAUUGCAGUUGAAACUGGCAGUCUUGAGUACAGUAGAGGUGGGCGGAAUUCGUGGUGUAGCGGUGAAAUGCUUAGAUAUCACGAAGAACUCCGAUUGCGAAGGCAGUUCACUGGACUGCAACUGACACUGAGGCUCGAAAGUGUGGGUAUCAAACAGGAUUAGAUACCCGUGUAGUC
RNAcentral lists this ribosomal RNA (460 nucleotides) under uncultured bacterium. RNAcentral's name for it is "partial 16S ribosomal RNA". It matches the Rfam family "Bacterial small subunit ribosomal RNA", at positions 338 to 795 of the family's 1533-position model. The record is from RNAcentral.